This 440-nucleotide ribosomal RNA is filed under the name uncultured bacterium. Its description in RNAcentral is "partial 16S ribosomal RNA". It matches the Rfam family "Bacterial small subunit ribosomal RNA", at positions 339 to 795 of the family's 1533-position model. The record is from RNAcentral.
CUACGGGAUGCACCAGUGAGGAAUAUUGCACAAUGGGGGGAACCCUGAUGCAGCAACGCCGCGUGGAGGAUGACGCAUUUCGGUGUGUAAACUCCUUUUAUAUGUCAAGAAAAUGACGGUAGCAUAUGAAUAAGCACCGGCUAACUCCGUGCCAGCAGCCGCGGUAAUACGGGAGGGUGCAAGCGUUACUCGGAAUCACUGGGCGUAAAGGACGCGUAGGCGGGUUGGAAAGUCAGGUGUGAAAUCCUACAGCUUAACUGUAGAACUGCACUUGAAACUUCUAAUCUAGAGUAUGGGAGGGGGAGAUGGAAUUAGUGGUGUAGGGGUAAAAUCCGUAGAUAUCACUAGGAAUACCUAAAGCGAAGGCGAUCUCCUGGAACAUUACUGACGCUAAGGCGUGAAAGCGUGGGGAGCAAACAGGAUUAGAUACCCUCGUAGUC